This is a non-coding RNA of Genlisea aurea, 160 nucleotides long. The record is from Rfam. NCBI's taxonomy places the organism in Eukaryota, Viridiplantae, Streptophyta, Magnoliopsida, Lamiales, Lentibulariaceae.
AUACUUACCUGGACGGGGUGAAUGGGUGAUCAACAAGGCCCAUCCCUAGGUUGGCAGCUUCCAUUGCACUUAGGAAGUUUGCCCGUCUAAGGUCGGCCCAAGUGGUCGAGCCUACGUCAUAAUUUGUGUCCGAGGGGGCCUGCGUUCGCGCGGCCCCUGC